GAUGAAGAACGUAGCGAAAUGCGAUACUUGGUGUGAAUUGCAGAAUCCCGUGAACCAUCGAGUCUUUGAACGCAAGUUGCGCCCGAAGCCGUCAGGCCGAGGGCACGCCUGCCUGGGCGUCACACGCCGUUGCCCCCCCGCGCCCCGCACCCAACUCUUUGGGAGCGACCGCGGGGCGGGCUGAUGAUGGCCUCCCGUGCGCUCCGCCGCGCGGUUGGCCCAAAUUCCGAGUCCCCGGCGACGUGCGCCACGACGAUCGGUGGUUGAGAGACCUCUGUCGCAAGUCGUGCGCGCCCGUCGCGUCACGCGGGCUCGCAUAGCGCCUCGCGCCGCACCCGGUGCGGAGCUUUCAACGCGACCCCAGGUCAGGCGGGGUUACCCGCUGAAUUUAAGCAUAUCAAUAAGCGGAGGA
Molecule: unclassified non-coding RNA, 412 nt
Filed under: soil metagenome
Description: partial contains 5.8S ribosomal RNA, internal transcribed spacer 2, and large subunit ribosomal RNA
Rfam family: 5.8S ribosomal RNA (bases 1-122)
Source: RNAcentral